Molecule: ribosomal RNA, 446 nt
Filed under: uncultured bacterium
Lineage: Bacteria
Description: SSU rRNA
Rfam family: Bacterial small subunit ribosomal RNA
Source: RNAcentral
AGAACGAACGCUGGCGGCAGGCUUAACACAUGCAAGUCGAACGCGUGUAGCAAUACACGAGUGGCGCACGGGUGAGUAACGCGUGGAUAUCUGCCUUUUGGUUCGGAAUAACCCCGGGAAACUGGGGCUAAUACCGGAUGGUUCCUACGGGAUAAAGAUUUAUCGCCAAAAGAUGAGUCCGCGUCCGAUUAGCUAGUUGGUGGGGUAAUGGCCUACCAAGGCGACGAUCGGUAGCUGGUCUGAGAGGACGAUCAGCCACACUGGGACUGAGACACGGCCCAGACUCCUACGGGAGGCAGCAGUGGGGAAUAUUGGACAAUGGGGGCAACCCUGAUCCAGCCAUGCCGCGUGAGUGAUGAAGGCCUUCGGGUUGUAAAGCUCUUUGGUCGGGGACGAUGAUGACGGUACCGCAGAAUAAGCCCGGCUAACUUCGCGCCAGCAGCCGC